AAGGUUUCCGUAGGUGAACCUGCGGAAGGAUCAUUCAUAAUAAGUGUUUAUGGCACUUUUUAAAUCCAUAUCCACCUUGUGUGCAAUGUCAGCCGUCUUUUCUUUAUGGAAAGGCAGCCAAACAUCAACUUAUUUUUUUAACUGUCUGUCUGAAAACUAUUAUGAAUAAACAAUUCAAAUACAACUUUCAACAACGGAUCUCUUGGCUCUCGCAUCGAUGAAGAACGCAGCGAAAUGCGAUACGUAAUGUGAAUUGCAGAAUUCAGUGAAUCAUCGAAUCUUUGAACGCAUAUUGCGCUCUUUGGUAUUCCGAAGAGCAUGCUUGUUUGAGUAUCAGUAAACACCUCAAAGCCUUUAAUUCCGUUUGGAAGCUUUGGACUUGAGCAAUCCCAACACCAGUCUCGCGACUGGCGGAGGGUUGCUUGAAAUGCAGGUGCAGCUGGACAUUCUCCUGAGCUAUAAGCAUAUUUAUUUAGUCCCGUCAAACGGAUUAUUACUUUUGCUGCAGCUAACAUAAAGGGAGUCUGACCGCAUUAGCUGACUGAUGCAGGAUUUCACAAGGGACUGGCAACAGCCUCUUGUAAAACUCGAUCUCAAAUCAAGUAAGACUACCCGCUGAACUUAAG
RNAcentral lists this ribosomal RNA (626 nucleotides) under Linnemannia zychae. RNAcentral's name for it is "eukaryotic LSU rRNA". The stretch from base 183 to 336 matches the Rfam family "5.8S ribosomal RNA". The record is from RNAcentral. Lineage: Eukaryota; Fungi; Mortierellomycota; Mortierellomycetes; Mortierellales; Mortierellaceae.